UUAUGACUGAGACCGACAGCAGGCACAAUCUCAUCACUCCGUUGCCGGAUCUGAUCGACAUGCCUUUGUAAUAUUCUACCAUUAGGAAUUUGAACUUUGUAUGACAAAAGUCCUGUGGCCACAAGUACUUUUGCAGGUAUCCAUUUAGGCCCAGAAACAUAAUUCCUGACAUAGACAGCACUGUCAGGUGCAAAUACUCUC
This is a non-coding RNA of Pelobates cultripes (western spadefoot toad), 201 nucleotides long. Lineage: Eukaryota; Metazoa; Chordata; Amphibia; Anura; Pelobatidae. The record is from the annotation of a GenBank genome assembly.